AGGACAGCGGCCCUCCAGGACCUGAGUUUGACACCCCUGGUUUAAAUGAACGAACAGUUUGAGCAGACCGCAGGAGACAUCAUCAAGGAUGACGUUAACCAUGAAGAUAAAAAGCCUUAUUGUUACGACAAAAAAAAAAAAAAAAAAAAAA
Long non-coding RNA from Hippocampus comes (tiger tail seahorse), 151 nucleotides. RefSeq lists it as uncharacterized. The transcript has 2 exons. NCBI's taxonomy places the organism in Eukaryota, Metazoa, Chordata, Actinopteri, Syngnathiformes, Syngnathidae. The record is from RefSeq and is a predicted model, not a curated record.